Molecule: long non-coding RNA, 251 nt
Organism: Talpa occidentalis (Iberian mole)
Lineage: Eukaryota; Metazoa; Chordata; Mammalia; Eulipotyphla; Talpidae
Exons: 3
Source: RefSeq, a predicted model, not a curated record
CAGAAGUUGUGCUCCGAUAACACACAGAGCCACAACAUGGAUGGAGCAGGAAGGGAUCAUGCUCAGUGAAAUGAGCCAGAAAGAAAAAGGAAAAUGCUGGAGUCUGUUUUAGGUAAUAGCAAUGGAUUAGAUCUGAGCCCUAUCGAGAGACGCCUACUGUGAUCACUUCCAAAAUGGAAAGAAUGCAGUGUCGUGGAGGGGCAGACAGCGAGGGCUCUCCUUGCUGGCCAGGAAGCGCCUACGGAGGCCGG